CUCCAAUGUGGACAGUAGCCUCUGGCAAAAGAGCAAAGGCUAUAUUUGAGGGCAAUAACUUCUUUGUUAUUUCACUGUGAAUCACCAAUGGUCAAAUGAAGGCACCCUUUGAUGGCUCUUGAAGUCUGAAGAAUCUUUGAGGAAAGCAUCUUCUUCAACACAUGCUAUGUUCUUCUUCCAGACAACACAGAUGAAAGCCAAACUUUUUUACGGCACAACUGUAUUCUAUCAGAAUUCAGAAGCCUGAAGGACAUCUCCACAAAAAACCUGUAGUCUACACACUUGGAAAAAUCAUCAGUCUUUCUCUUCAUCUGUAUGCAGUGGAAAUCUAGACUGAGCCACUCAGAUUACGUCCGUUACAGCAGGGU
RNAcentral lists this long non-coding RNA (368 nucleotides) under Anas platyrhynchos platyrhynchos (common mallard). Its description in RNAcentral is "lncRNA (ENSAPLG00000029174.1)". Lineage: Eukaryota; Metazoa; Chordata; Aves; Anseriformes; Anatidae. The record is from RNAcentral.